This 1038-nucleotide unclassified non-coding RNA is filed under the name Hevea brasiliensis (rubber tree). The record is from RNAcentral. Lineage: Eukaryota; Viridiplantae; Streptophyta; Magnoliopsida; Malpighiales; Euphorbiaceae.
GAAAAUACGCGUUUUUCUCAUUACUAACAAAGGAGAGUUUCAUUGAACAAGGCUGUUGUCUCAGUUUAUUUAACAGUACCAAACUAGAUACUUACCUAACACUUGAUAAUGAGGCUCCUACUACCGCCUCCUUGACUGGCCGAUGGAGUUGUGAUCACUUCAGAAAUCUGUGAGCCAGUUUUCGAUCUUUACACAUUCCUUUGGCUCUUCAAAGAGUUGAUGUAAUUCUCUGGCAAGUAGAUCUCACCGCCAACCUCACCGUGUUGUUCCCCACUAAUGGUUUUUUUUGCAGCUUGAAACGCUGCACUCAUAGCAUCCAUGCCCUGCUGAAUGGCUUCCUCUGCAUUUCCAUAACCAUGAUUUUCAGCAUACUUUCUUAUAUCUUCGGUUAUUUUCAUGGAGCAAAACUUAGGCCCGCACAUAGAGCAGAAAUGUGCCACUUUAGCCCCAUCGGCUGGUAAAGUUUCGUCGUGAAAGGACAUUGCAGUAACGGGGUCCAAUGAUAAAGCGAAUUGGUCCAUCCAUCUGAACUCAAAUCUUGCCUUGCUAAGUGCAUCAUCCCAGGCUUGAGAUAGCGGGUGACCUUUUGCAAGAUCAGCUGCAUGAGCAGCUAUCUUAUAUGAUAUUACACCUGUCUUCACGUCAUCGCGAUUAGGCAGACCAAGAUGCUCUUUUGGAGUGACGUAACACAGAAGUGCAGUCCCGAGUGCUCCUAUAUUGGCUGCACCGAUAGCUGAGGUGAUAUGAUCAUAUCCGGGAGCUAUAUCAGUUGUCAAUGGUCCAAGAGUGUAAAAUGGUGCUUCAUUACACCACUCUAGCUGUUUCUGCAUGUUCUCGGGAAUCUUAUGCAUUGGUACAUGUCCAGGUCCUUCAUUCAUAACCUGUACAUCCUUUUCCCAAGCUCGGCGAGUCAGCUCCCCUUGAGUCAAGAGCUCAGCAAACUGAGCGGUGUCAUUUGCAUCAUAAAUUGAACCAGGUCUCAGUCCAUCACCAAUUGAUAACGAUAUAUCGUACUGAUUACAGAUGUCAAGUAUGUCA